Molecule: ribosomal RNA, 253 nt
Filed under: uncultured bacterium
Lineage: Bacteria
Description: partial 16S ribosomal RNA
Rfam family: Bacterial small subunit ribosomal RNA
Source: RNAcentral
UACGUAGGGACCGAGCGUUGUCCGGAUUCAUUGGGCGUAAAGAGCUCGUAGGCGGCUGCUCAAGUCGAAUGUGAAAACUCGAGGCUCAACCUCGAGCCUGCAUUCGAUACUGGGCGGCUAGAGUCUGGUAGGGGGAUCUGGAAUUCCUGGUGUAGCGGUGGAAUGCGCAGAUAUCAGGAGGAACACCAAUAGCGAAGGCAGCUCGCUGGGACGUUACUGACACUGAGGCGCGAAAGCGUGGGGAGCGAACAGG